This 570-nucleotide ribosomal RNA is filed under the name uncultured Gammaproteobacteria bacterium. RNAcentral's name for it is "bacterial SSU rRNA". It matches the Rfam family "Bacterial small subunit ribosomal RNA", at positions 169 to 733 of the family's 1533-position model. Lineage: Bacteria; Pseudomonadati; Pseudomonadota; Gammaproteobacteria. The record is from RNAcentral.
CCGCAUAACGUCGCAAGACCAAAGAGGGGGACCUUCGGGCCUCUUGCCAUCAGAUGUGCCCAGAUGGGAUUAGCUAGUAGGUGGGGUAACGGCUCACCGAGGCGACGAUCCCCUAGCUGGUAUGAGAGGAUGACCAGCCACACUGGAACUGAGACACGGUCCAGACUCCUACGGGAGGCAGCAGUGGGGAAUAUUGCACAAUGGGCGCAAGCCUGAUGCAGCCAUGCCGCGUGUAUGAAGAAGGCCUUCGGGUUGUAAAGUACUUUCAGCGGGGAGGAAGGCGAUAAGGUUAAUAACCUUGUCGAUUGACGUUACCCGCAGAAGAAGCACCGGCUAACUCCGUGCCAGCAGCCGCGGUAAUACGGAGGGUGCAAGCGUUAAUCGGAAUUACUGGGCGUAAAGCGCACGCAGGCGGUCUGUCAAGUCGGAUGUGAAAUCCCCGGGCUCAACCUGGGAACUGCAUUCGAAACUGGCAGGCUAGAGUCUUGUAGAGGGGGGUAGAAUUCCAGGUGUAGCGGUGAAAUGCGUAGAGAUCUGGAGGAAUACCGGUGGCGAAGGCGGCCCCCUGGA